RNAcentral lists this ribosomal RNA (255 nucleotides) under uncultured bacterium. RNAcentral's name for it is "partial 16S ribosomal RNA". It matches the Rfam family "Bacterial small subunit ribosomal RNA", at positions 526 to 779 of the family's 1533-position model. The record is from RNAcentral.
CGUAGGUGGCGAGCGUUGUCCGGAUUUACUGGGACGUAAAGGAUGCGUAGGCGGAUAAAAUAAGUGAGAUGUGAAAUACCCGAGCUUAACUUGGGGGUGCAUUUCAAACUGUUUGUCUAGAGUACAGGAGAGGAAAGUGGAAUUUCUAGUGUAGCGGUGAAAUGCGUAGAUAUUAGGAAGAACACCAGUGGCGAAGGCGGCUUUCUGGACUGUUACAGACGCUGAGGCAUGAAAGCAUGGGUAGCGAACAGGAUU